Molecule: ribosomal RNA, 407 nt
Filed under: Polymeridium subvirescens
Lineage: Eukaryota; Fungi; Ascomycota; Dothideomycetes; Trypetheliales; Trypetheliaceae
Description: eukaryotic LSU rRNA
Rfam family: Eukaryotic large subunit ribosomal RNA
Source: RNAcentral
UUUGGAUUUUGUGCCGGAUGAAGUCCUUUGGAACAAGGCGUCAUGGAGAGUGAAAAUCUCGUACGUCUGGACACACUAUCCGUGUAAAACUCCUUCAAAGAGUCAAGUUGUUUGGGAAUGCAGCUUAAAGUGGGAGGUAAAUUUCUUCCAAAGCUAAAUAUCAGCCAAAGACCGAUAGCGUACAACGUAGUGUGAACGAAAGAUGAAAAGCACUUUGAAAAGAGAGUUAAACAGCACGUGAAAUUGUUGAAAGGGAAGCGCAUACAGUCAGACAUGAUUUGUCAGUUCAGCCUUUUGGUGUACUCUGACAGAUCAGGUCAACAUCAGUUGUGGCAGUCGGAUAAAAGUGUCGGAAAUGWAGCUCCUCCGGGAGUGUUAUAGUCCGAUACAGAAUGCGACUUGCUGCG